GCCCGGCGAAAGCCGGAUUAAUACCGCAUACGACCUGAGGGUGAAAGCGGGGGAUCGCAAGACCUCGCGCUAUUGGAGCGGCCGAUGUCGGAUUAGCUAGUUGGUGGGGUAAAGGCUCACCAAGGCAACGAUCCGUAGCUGGUCUGAGAGGACGACCAGCCACACUGGGACUGAGACACGGCCCAGACUCCUACGGGAGGCAGCAGUGGGGAAUUUUGGACAAUGGGCGCAAGCCUGAUCCAGCCAUGCCGCGUGCGGGAAGAAGGCCUUCGGGUUGUAAACCGCUUUUGUCAGGGAAGAAACGCGCUGGGUUAAUACCUUGGCGUAAUGACGGUACCUGAAGAAUAAGC
This 350-nucleotide ribosomal RNA is filed under the name uncultured Rivibacter sp. Its description in RNAcentral is "bacterial SSU rRNA". It matches the Rfam family "Bacterial small subunit ribosomal RNA", at positions 146 to 491 of the family's 1533-position model. The record is from RNAcentral. Lineage: Bacteria; Pseudomonadati; Pseudomonadota; Betaproteobacteria; Burkholderiales.